RNAcentral lists this ribosomal RNA (399 nucleotides) under uncultured bacterium. RNAcentral describes it as "bacterial SSU rRNA". It matches the Rfam family "Bacterial small subunit ribosomal RNA", at positions 28 to 428 of the family's 1533-position model. The record is from RNAcentral.
GACGAACGCUGGCGGCGUGCUUAACACAUGCAAGUCGAGCGGUAAGGCCCUUUCGGGGGUACGACGAGCGGCGAACGGGUGAGUAACACGUGGGUGACCUGCCUUUAGCUCUGGGAUAAGCCUGGGAAACUGGGUCUAAUACCGGAUAUGACCCUAUGGCGCAUGUUGUGGGGUGGAAAGCCUUGUGCGGCUAGGGAUGGGCCCGCGGCCUAUCAGCUUGUUGGUGGGGUGAUGGCCUACCAAGGCGACGACGGGUAGCCGGCCUGAGAGGGCGACCGGCCACACUGGGACUGAGACACGGCCCAGACUCCUACCGGGAGGCAGCAGUGGGGAAUCUUGCGCAAUGGGCGAAAGCCUGACGCAGCGACGCCGCGUGAGGGAUGACGGCCUCGGUUGUAA